This 427-nucleotide ribosomal RNA is filed under the name uncultured Ramlibacter sp. Its description in RNAcentral is "bacterial SSU rRNA". It matches the Rfam family "Bacterial small subunit ribosomal RNA", at positions 355 to 774 of the family's 1533-position model. Lineage: Bacteria; Pseudomonadati; Pseudomonadota; Betaproteobacteria; Burkholderiales; Comamonadaceae. The record is from RNAcentral.
UGGGGAAUUUUGGACAAUGGGCGCAAGCCUGAUCCAGCCAUUCCGCGUGCAGGAUGAAGGCCCUCGGGUUGUAAACUGCUUUUGUACGGAACGAAAAGGCUUUCUCUAAUACAGAGAGCUCAUGACGGUACCGUAAGAAUAAGCACCGGCUAACUACGUGCCAGCAGCCGCGGUAAUACGUAGGGUGCGAGCGUUAAUCGGAAUUACUGGGCGUAAAGCGUGCGCAGGCGGUGAUGUAAGACAGGUGUGAAAUCCCCGGGCUUAACCUGGGAACUGCAUUUGUGACUGCAUCGCUGGAGUGCGGCAGAGGGGGAUGGAAUUCCGCGUGUAGCAGUGAAAUGCGUAGAUAUGCGGAGGAACACCGAUGGCGAAGGCAAUCCCCUGGGCCUGCACUGACGCUCAUGCACGAAAGCGUGGGGAGCAAACA